GAUGAACGCUGGCGGCGUGCCUAAUACAUGCAAGUCGAGCGAACAGACGAGGAGCUUGCUCCUCUGACGUUAGCGGCGGACGGGUGAGUAACACGUGGAUAACCUACCUAUAAGACUGGGAUAACUUCGGGAAACCGGAGCUAAUACCGGAUAAUAUAUUGAACCGCAUGUUCAAUAGUGAAAGACGGUUUUGCUGUCACUUAUAGAUGGAUCCGCGCCGCAUUAGCUAGUUGGUAAGGUAACGGCUUACCAAGGCAACGAUGCGUAGCCGACCUGAGAGGGUGAUCGGCCACACUGGAACUGAGACACGGUCCAGACUCCUACGGGAGGCAGCAGUAGGGAAUCUUCCGCAAUGGGCGAAAGCUUGACGGAGCAACGCCGCGUGAGUGAUGAAGGUCUUCGGAUCGUAAAACUCUGUUAUUAGGGAAGAACAAAUGUGUAAGUAACUAUGCACGUCUUGACGGUACCUAAUCAGAAAGCCACGGCUAACUACGUG
This 496-nucleotide ribosomal RNA is filed under the name uncultured bacterium. RNAcentral describes it as "partial 16S ribosomal RNA". It matches the Rfam family "Bacterial small subunit ribosomal RNA", at positions 28 to 507 of the family's 1533-position model. The record is from RNAcentral.